GAUUUUAGCCAUGCUAGUUGCACGAGUUCAUACUCGUGGCGAAAAGCUCAGUAACACGUGGCCAAACUACCCUACAGAGAACGAUAACCUCGGGAAACUGAGGCUAAUAGUUCAUACGGGAGUCAUGCUGGAAUGCCGACUCCCCGAAACGCUCAGGCGCUGUAGGAUGUGGCUGCGGCCGAUUAGGUAGACGGUGGGGUAACGGCCCACCGUGCCGAUAAUCGGUACGGGUUGUGAGAGCAAGAGCCCGGAGACGGAAUCUGAGACAAGAUUCCGGGCCCUACGGGGCGCAGCAGGCGCGAAACCUUUACACUGCACGCAAGUGCGAUAAGGGGACCCCAAGUGCGAGGGCAUAUAGUCCUCGCUUUUCUCGACUGUAAGGCGGUCGAGGAAUAAGAGCUGGGCAAGACCGAAAAACAGCAGCCGCGGUAAUACCGGCAGCUCAAGUGAUGACCGAUAUUAUUGGGCCUAAAGCGUCCGUAGCCGGCCACGAAGGUUCAUCGGGAAAUCCGCCAGCUCAACUGGCGGGCGUCCGGUGAAAACCACGUGGCUUGGGACCGGAAGGCUCGAGGGGUACGUCCGGGGUAGGAGUGAAAUCCCGUAAUCCUGGACGGACCACCGAUGGCGAAAGCACCUCGAGAAGACGGAUCCGACGGUGAGGGACGAAAGCUAGGGUCUCGAACCGGAUUAGAUACCCGGGUAGUCCUAGCUGUAAACGAUGCUC
This 724-nucleotide ribosomal RNA is filed under the name Haloferax sp. BAB-3000. RNAcentral describes it as "bacterial SSU rRNA". It matches the Rfam family "Archaeal small subunit ribosomal RNA", at positions 42 to 765 of the family's 1478-position model. The record is from RNAcentral. Lineage: Archaea; Methanobacteriati; Methanobacteriota; Halobacteria; Halobacteriales; Haloferacaceae.